Molecule: ribosomal RNA, 497 nt
Filed under: uncultured bacterium
Lineage: Bacteria
Description: partial 16S ribosomal RNA
Rfam family: Bacterial small subunit ribosomal RNA
Source: RNAcentral
GAUGAACGCUGGCGGCGUGCCUAAUACAUGCAAGUCGAACGGACGGACGAGAAGCUUGCUUCUCUGAUGUUAGCGGCGGACGGGUGAGUAACACGUGGAUAACCUACCUAUAAGACUGGGAUAACUUCGGGAAACCGGAGCUAAUACCCGAUAAUAUUUUGAACCGCAUGGUUCAAAAGUGAAAGACGUUCUUGCUGUCACUUAUAGCUGGUUCCGCGUUGCAUUAGCUGGUUGGUAGGGUAACGGCUUACACAGGCAACGAUGCAUAGCCGACCUGAGAGGGUGAUCGGCCACACUGGAACUGAGACACGGUCCAGACUCCUACGGGAGGCAGCAGUAGGGAAUCUUCCGCAAUGGGCGAAAGCCUGACGGAGCAACGCCGCGUGAGUGAUGAAGGCCUUCGGAUCGUAAAACUCUGUUAGUGGGGAAGAACAUAUGUGUAAGUAACUGUGCACAUAUUGACGGUACCUAAUCAGAAAGCCACGGCUAACUACGUG